AGUGAACGCUGGCGGUAGGCCUAACACAUGCAAGUCGAACGGCAGCACAGUAAGAGCUUGCUCUUACGGGUGGCGAGUGGCGGACGGGUGAGGAAUACAUCGGAAUCUACUUUUUCGUGGGGGAUAACGUAGGGAAACUUACGCUAAUACCGCAUACGACCUACGGGUGAAAGCAGGGGAUCUUCGGACCUUGCGCGAUUGAAUGAGCCGAUGUCGGAUUAGCUAGUUGGCGGGGUAAAGGCCCACCAAGGCGACGAUCCGUAGCUGGUCUGAGAGGAUGAUCAGCCACACUGGAACUGAGGCACGGUCCAGACUCCUACGGGAGGCAGCAGUGGGGAAUAUUGGACAAUGGGCGCAAGCCUGAUCCAGCCAUACCGCGUGGGUGAAGAAGGCCUUCGGGUUGUAAAGCCCUUUAGUUGGGAAAGAAAAGCAGCAGGUUAAUACCCCGCUGUUCUGACGGUACCCAAAGAAUAAGCACCGGCUAACUUCGUG
RNAcentral lists this ribosomal RNA (492 nucleotides) under uncultured bacterium. RNAcentral describes it as "partial 16S ribosomal RNA". It matches the Rfam family "Bacterial small subunit ribosomal RNA", at positions 29 to 507 of the family's 1533-position model. The record is from RNAcentral.